RNAcentral lists this ribosomal RNA (190 nucleotides) under uncultured Staphylococcus sp. Its description in RNAcentral is "partial 16S ribosomal RNA". It matches the Rfam family "Bacterial small subunit ribosomal RNA", at positions 150 to 334 of the family's 1533-position model. The record is from RNAcentral. Lineage: Bacteria; Bacillati; Bacillota; Bacilli; Caryophanales; Staphylococcaceae.
CGGGGAACCGGAGCUAAUACCGGAUAAUAUUUUGAACCGCAUGGUUCAAAAGUGAAAGACGGUCUUGCUGUCACUUAUAGAUGGAUCCGCGCUGCAUUAGCUAGUUGGUAAGGUAACGGCUUACCAAGGCAACGAUGCAUAGCCGACCUGAGAGGGUGAUCGGCCACACUGGAACUGAGACACGGUCCAG